This 492-nucleotide ribosomal RNA is filed under the name uncultured bacterium. RNAcentral describes it as "partial 16S ribosomal RNA". It matches the Rfam family "Bacterial small subunit ribosomal RNA", at positions 29 to 507 of the family's 1533-position model. The record is from RNAcentral.
AUUGAACGCUGGCGGCAUGCUUUACACAUGCAAGUCGAACGGUAACAGGCCUUCGGGUGCUGACGAGUGGCGAACGGGUGAGUAAAGCAUCGGAACGUACCCAGAGGUGGGGGAUAACGCAGCGAAAGCUGUGCUAAUACCGCAUGUGAUCUGAGGAUGAAAGCGGGGGACCGAGCAGCAAUGUUUGGCCUCGCGCCUUUGGAGCGGCCGAUGUCGGAUUAGCUAGUUGGUGGGGUAAAGGCCUACCAAGGCGACGAUCCGUAGCUGGUCUGAGAGGACGACCAGCCACACUGGGACUGAGACACGGCCCAGACUCCUACGGGAGGCAGCAGUGGGGAAUUUUGGACAAUGGGCGCAAGCCUGAUCCAGCAAUGCCGCGUGCGGGAAGAAGGCCUUCGGGUUGUAAACCGCUUUUGGCAGGAACGAAACGGUGUCCGCUAAUACCGGGCGCUAAUGACGGUACCUGCAGAAUAAGCACCGGCUAACUACGUG